This 117-nucleotide small nuclear RNA is filed under the name Oncorhynchus mykiss (rainbow trout). RNAcentral describes it as "U5 spliceosomal RNA (ENSOMYG00000069351.1)". It matches the Rfam family "U5 spliceosomal RNA". From Rfam's summary of the family: U5 RNA is a component of both types of known spliceosome. The record is from RNAcentral. Lineage: Eukaryota; Metazoa; Chordata; Actinopteri; Salmoniformes; Salmonidae.
AGACUCUGGUUUCUCUUCAUUACGCACAAGCCUUUCGCCUUUUACUAAAGACUUCCGUGGAGAGGAACACUUACGAGUUCCACGUAUUUUUGGGAGCGCUUUGCUUCUUGCAGACCC